Molecule: ribosomal RNA, 322 nt
Filed under: uncultured bacterium
Lineage: Bacteria
Description: partial 16S ribosomal RNA
Rfam family: Bacterial small subunit ribosomal RNA
Source: RNAcentral
UGGGGAAUAUUGGACAAUGGGGGCAACCCUGAUCCAGCAAUGCCGCGUGUGUGAAGAAGGUCUUCGGAUUGUAAAGCACUUUCGACGGGGACGAUGAUGACGGUACCCGUAGAAGAAGCCCCGGCUAACUUCGUGCCAGCAGCCGCGGUAAUACGAAGGGGGCUAGCGUUGCUCGGAAUGACUGGGCGUAAAGGGCGUGUAGGCGGUUUACACAGUCAGAUGUGAAAUCCCCCGGGCUUAACCUGGGAGCUGCAUUUGAUACGUGUAGACUAGAGUGUGAGAGAGGGUUGUGGAAUUCCCAGUGUAGAGGUGAAAUUCGUAG